Bombus pascuorum is the source of this 845-nucleotide long non-coding RNA. RefSeq lists it as uncharacterized. Lineage: Eukaryota; Metazoa; Arthropoda; Insecta; Hymenoptera; Apidae. The record is from RefSeq and is a predicted model, not a curated record. The transcript has 3 exons.
GUCGCGUUGACUGCCACGCGAAUUUUAUAUGUAUUUAAUCAUUUUUCCAAUAUUUGAUUUUUCGAGUAUUUAAAUCUCCGCGUAAUUAAAUUUCGAAAUAAUUAAAAUUUUCAAAUAUUCAAAUUUUCAUUCAACGUGUAGAAGCACAUAUUGUAUAAAAAUUACUUGUCGGUAGAGUAAUAUAGCAGGUGAUGAAAAUCGGAUCCGUAGAGAACAUGUUGAGAUGGUUGCAUACGUUGUCAUGCAGAUGUUUAUAGCUUGACAUGUCCUUGGUAACUCUGUUUCCGUUUGAUAAACGACAUUGCUACUGACUUACAUUCCUUAGUGUUUUCCUUUUAUUUUGCAUAUCUCCUUUUUAUUUCUACCUUGGGAUAAUUGGAGCUUAAGGUGAUAGAGGACUUAUAGUACGUUUUGAAUUUGUCAGCCUUAGUAUUUUAAUUUUUUCGAUCUUUCCUUCGUUUUUGGUAUUUGUCGAAGAGCAACUGAGAUUUAAGGGACUGAAAUAUUAUGUAUAAAAGGGAUACCGAGUUCGGAGAAAGGAGACCCUAAACUAAUGGAUUACCCGAAAUACGCGUGGAACAGGGCACGAGGCGCCUUUCCCCGAUCUUUCCCGACGUCGCGAUUGUUGUAAUCAACUUUCCGACCAAUUAAAACUCAAUAAAAGCAGGAUGUGGCGCCAGAAAUAUAACAACCAGCAUACGACAAGUCAUUGCGCAGCCAUGCACAACGCGAUACACAGGUGGAGAAGAUCUAGCGAUAAAACCAAAAACUGGAAACGUAUCGAUGUUAAUUCUAACUGUAACGUCUCUCAAUCUCAAAAUACAUGAUCGUAAAACGAAAAUAGC